CCGUAAGAUUCGAUUUGAUGAAAAAUCAUGAAAAAAAAUUUGAUAGUUUUUGAAACUAAACAAGGCCUUAAGUUUUUUAUUCAAAGUCGACGGAGAGCAGAGCUGUCUCAGGUAUCUACUGCGCAAUAGCGUGGUUGCUGCGCAACAGUGUGUGGUUGCCUCGUCCGGUCUUCGAGGUAGAGCCGUGCACACUAGGCGGAGUCCGCUACAGGCUAUCAUGCUUUCUUCCUGGCAGAGGCGGGAAAGUGCAGUACCUUGGGGCCUUUUUUUUUUCCUUUUUUGUCACCACAGACACAUUGCCAUUUUUGUUUUUUCAAAACUCCUAACGCCGCGUCCACACCUGGGGAGGCUCGAGCGCCCGCAAGGCUAGCUCUUUGGGCGGCGGCCGGCCGUGGGCGCGCGCUUGGCUCUGAGGUGGGAGCUAGCGGGCGGCGCGGGGGCAGGCGCGCACGGCAG
This 456-nucleotide long non-coding RNA is filed under the name Sorghum bicolor (sorghum). Its description in RNAcentral is "long non-coding RNA (SBIC_LNC007891)". Lineage: Eukaryota; Viridiplantae; Streptophyta; Magnoliopsida; Poales; Poaceae. The record is from RNAcentral.